Molecule: long non-coding RNA, 4257 nt
Filed under: Citrus x clementina
Lineage: Eukaryota; Viridiplantae; Streptophyta; Magnoliopsida; Sapindales; Rutaceae
Description: Citrus clementina (C. clementina) long non-coding RNA (CCLE_LNC004203)
Source: RNAcentral
UCAUCGGCUGUUAAUAUAGAAGAGGUAAUUUUAAAUGGAACUGCAAUUGAAGAACUGCCUUCAUCCAUCGAUUGCAUCUCUGGGCUUUCUAUCUUGGACGUUCAAAAUUGUAAAAAGCUUAAGAGUCUCCCAAGCAACCUAUGUAAGUUGACAUGUCUUAGAGCUCUUAUCCUCAAUGGUUGCUCAAAACUUCAGCGAUUGCCUGACGAACUUGGAAAUUUAGAAGCUUUGGGUUACUUGCAUGCUGAAGGAACUGGCAUAAGAGAAGUACCAUCAUCCAUUGUCCGUUUGAAUAACGUUCGAAAAUUAGAUUUCAAGGGAACCAAGGGUUUAUCAUUGCCUAUGACAUUAUCUUUAGGUGGCGCCUUACGAGGUCUAUGGUGUUUAGACCUAACUGAUUGCGGCAUCACAGAGUUACCUGAAAAUCUUGGCAUGUUAUCCUCACUUAUAAACUUGUAUCUAGAUAAAAACAAUUUUGGGAGAAUACCAGAAAGCAUUAUACAACUUUCUACGUUGUUAUAUUUCCGCUUGAGUCAUUGUGAGAGGCUUCAAUCCUUACCAGAGCUUCCUUGCUCUCUGCUUGAGUUGGAUGCACAUCAUUGCACGGCACUGGAAUCAUUAUCAGGUUUAUUCUUAAGGGAUGAACCUUAUCGUCCGUGUAUUGACCUGAGCGAUAAUUAUAAAAUGGAUCAGAAUGUGACCAGAGGAAUUCUCCAAGAUGCUCUACAAAAGUUUAAGCAUAUGGCAACUGAACGUCGGAAACGAGUAGAGGAAAAGGUGUGUCUUUGGCUUUCUCUAGUCUCUUCUUCUUUUAAUUUAUUUAUAAAAUGUUAACUUUACCAACAGAUCAACUAGCAUGGGUUGUUUUAGCUUAACCAAGGUUCUCGGUUCGAGACUUGGGAAUGCAGCUGCGUUAAAUACUUGUUGGGAAAGCUCUGCCGCCCUAGUGGUCCUACCCGACUCGAAUCUGAAUUAGUCGUGACCCAAUGUGAUCUUUGGAUACCAAAUGGUUUAAUACACCGAAAAAAAAAAUGUUAACUUUUUUAAAAUUAAUUAAAAUUAUUAUUUUUGUGGUACAGAUACCUUUUUCAGGAUCUAAGGGUCAUGUCUUAUUACCUGGAAAUGAAAUUCCAGAGUGGUUUAGCUUUAAAAGCGAGGGAUCUUCUAUGACGUUGGACAUGACACCAGAUUUCUUCAAUAAAAACCGAGUACUCGGCUUUGCUUUUAGCGCUAUUGUAGGAUUUGGAGACCAUCAAGAUGUCAGAGAAGAGAGGUUUAGAUUAUUCUGUGAAAUCAAAGUCAAACCCAAAGAUUGUGAUUCACAUGUCAUACAGAGACCUCUGGCAGUAAUUAGAUAUGUAGAGUCAGAUCACUUACUUUUGGGGGACGAUUUCUUCGAUGAUAAGGAAUUUUUUACUUUUUGGGAGAACAAUUGGGUUCCUGAGGCUAUCCAGUUCUAUUUUAAAGAAGAAUUUGGUUAUGAAAUUUUGGGGUAUUGCCUUGUGAAAAAAUGUGGGAUCCAUUUACUGUACGCCCCAGAUUCUUCGGAUUCAACAGAAGAAGAGGAACCAUGCCCCUAAAGACUGGCAUAUGGCAUGUGCUAGAAGACGUCCAUCGCAGCAGCUGGUACAUUUCUGUAAAUUAUUCUUCCUCUAUAUGUAAUUAUUGUUUUCCUAUAGCUUGGUUUCUUUGUUUUUCUAUAGCUUGGUUUAUUAUAUUUUUAUGUGAUGAGUUUGUAUGUCUCUCUACACUCUAGUAAUGGUUUGUUUAUGUCAUAUGUGCAGCUACCAUUUGACCAAGACAAACUUUCUUGUUUGUGAGGAUAUUGAUCAUAAUUUUUGUAGCUGAAGUUAAAGUAGGAGUUAGAGAAGUUUCUUUUGAUUCUUGAUCAAAAGAAAAACAUAGGAGUUUGACAGAACCAUCGCCAUCUUUCAUUGUACGUUUUCUAUGUAUUAAUUGAAUUGUUCUGACAUGAUUAUCGUUGUUUGGACACUGUUGUACAUCGAUUGAAUGACUUGAACGAUUUUAUAAUGUUUAUAGAUUGUUACAAUUAGAUAACAUUCGCUACAUAAGCAAAGAAAUAAUAGGAAUUUAAAAAAAAAAUACAAUAUGAAAAAUCAACUGCCAAUCUUCAUAACCUAAUUUAGGUGCUACAAUACUUGUUAUAAAUUUUUCGAUAGCAUCUUAUAUAAAAUGUUAUAAGGCACUAAAGCACUUGCAUCAUUAAAUCUAAUCAUAAUUCAACAAUUAAUAAUUCAACACUUAGCAUAUAUAACAUACAGCAACAGUAUAAACCCAUAAAUAAAAGUACCACAACAUAAAUCCAACAUCCAGAAUAACAUAAAUUCAAGUUUAACACCACCACAAGUCCACAUAGGUUGUUUCAUUUUUUUCAUUUAACUUAUAUAUUUUUUAAUUUAAUAAAUAAUUGAAUAAAAAAAUAAUACGGAUCCAGAUAUUUGAUUUUCUAGAUGCACUUGUAUCUAGAUCCCGAUCCGGAUUUGUACGAAUCUUAAUUUUUAACAUCCAAUUUGUAUUUUUUAAUGUGCGGAUUCCAAAUUUCCUUUAUCUCAAUAUUUACGAAUUUGGUCAGAUCCAGAUAUUUUUACUAUCCCCAUACACAGCCAUAAUUCAAGUUACGUUUAUAUGGGCCAAUGGGCUCUUUGGCACAAUUUAUGCACUCAUAAGUUUUUAUGAGUUCGAGUCUCCGUAAUGAUUAUUGGAAUUUUAUCUUCUUUCCUAUUAAAUUAAGGGAAAAAAUAUUUUUUGUUAAUACAGCAGAGUAGCUAAUUUUCUAAUAUUAUAUGAGAAUAGAAAUUUAGGUCAGGCUAUACUAAAUUUAUCAAGGAUAAUUUGAUAGACUUUUGACUGAAAGUAUCAAUAAUUGCGACUCAAUUUUCCUUCCAAUAAAAUUAAGUGGGGCACAUUUCUUUCUUGCUAAUACAGUAGAAUAGAUAUUUCUCUAGCAUUAUAUAAGAGUAAAAAUUUAAGCUCUCUUAUACUAAAGUUAUCAAUGGUAGUUUUAAUAGAUAUUUUUAAUUGUAAAUAUUAAUAAAAUUCUAUUAUUAUAUUAUUGUAUAAAAAAUAAAAACAACAAAGUCACUUUUGCAUAAACUUCGAAGAGAAGUUAAGACUUUUGAGUUUUGACCCGAACAGAACCAAAGAGACCAUUUUUUUUAAUUAAAAUCUGAAAAUAUUAUUGAAGACUACCUAUGAGAUGGUGUAUUCUAUAAAUAAUUAAAUAUAGUUUAAUUGUAAUUUUUAAUUUUUUAAUGGGUUAAUUUCAGCCUACCCACUUCGUGAAGUGACAAUCUUUAAAUCGCCCCCCUUACUAUUAAAAACAUUAAGUUACCCCCUAAAACUCGUUAUCUUUAACCAUUGACCGCCGUUGACUCAUAAAAGUACGACAACACCCGUACCUUAACAGAAUAUUCUUGUAACGGUAUUGUGAGAAUAAAAAAAAAUGUUUAUGUGUGACUAGUCAUUGGAAAAUGAAAAAAAGUAGUUUAUGUAUGACUAGUCAUUGAAAAAUAAAUUAAAAAAUAAAGUGUUAGAAAUGACUUAAUGGGUCUAAAUAAAUUGAUAAUUUUCCUAAAUUAGACAUGUUAGUUAAAUAAGUUACAAGACAUGCCAUCAUAUAUAAAUUACGAUAAUGCCAUUUUCGUCUUUUUCUUUCAUUUCUCUUCAUCUUUUCUUUCAUUUUUUUUUCUCAUCCUUACUCCUUUGUCUUUUCCUUUCAUUUGUUUUUUCCUCAUCCUUACUCCUUCUUCAUCUUUUUCUUCAUUUUUUUUCUUUUCUUCCAUGUACAUGACUCCAGUCUCCAAAGCCCUCGUUGAUUCCACAUCUGAACAAGCUAGUUAGUCUCAAACUAAGCGGUUGCAAAAGCUUGAAAAGCCUUCCAGCUGAAAUGUUUCAUUUGGAAUUUCUUAAAGAACUUGAUCUUUUGGGCUGCUCAAAACUGAAGAGGCUUCCAGAGAUGUCAUCGGCUGUUAAUAUAGAAGAGGUAAUUUUAAAUGGAACUGCAAUUGAAGAACUGCCUUCAUCCAUCGAUUGCAUCUCUGGGCUUUCUAUCAUGGACGUUCAAAAUUGUAAAAAGCUUAAGAGUCUCCCAAGCAACCUAUGUAAGUUGACAUGUCUUAGAGCUCUUAUCCUCAAUGGUUGCUCAAAACUUCAGCGAUUGCCUGACGAACUUGGAAAUUUAGAAGCUUUGGGUUACUUGCAUGCUGAAGGAACUGGCAUAAGAGAAGUACCAUCAUC